Molecule: transfer RNA, 74 nt
Filed under: Candidatus Latescibacterota bacterium
Lineage: Bacteria; Pseudomonadati; Candidatus Latescibacterota
Description: Candidatus Latescibacteria bacterium tRNA-Cys
Rfam family: tRNA
About the family: Transfer RNA (tRNA) molecules are approximately 80 nucleotides in length. Their secondary structure includes four short double-helical elements and three loops (D, anti-codon, and T loops). Further hydrogen bonds mediate the characteristic L-shaped molecular structure. tRNAs have two regions of fundamental functional importance: the anti-codon, which is responsible for specific mRNA codon recognition, and the 3' end, to which the tRNAs corresponding amino acid is attached (by aminoacyl-tRNA synthetases). tRNAs cope with the degeneracy of the genetic code in two manners: having more than one tRNA (with a specific anti-codon) for a particular amino acid; and 'wobble' base-pairing, i.e. permitting non-standard base-pairing at the 3rd anti-codon position.
Source: RNAcentral
GGCGGCAUAGCCAAGUGGUAAGGCAACGGUUUGCAAAACCGUCAUCCCCAGUUCGAGUCUGGGUGCCGCCUCCA